UUUUUUAGUCAUAUAAAUCACUUGUAAAGAUCAAGAUUGAAAUACAAGAAUACUCUAAAAUUCUCCAAAAUUCUUCAUUGUAGCAAAGCUUUUUUUAUGAUUUUAGAGUUUAAAUUCAAUUUUUUUUUUCUCUUUAGAGUUUUUAAACCCUAGAUCUAUCUUUUUUUGUAUUGCCCUACCUAGAGGCCUUUUUUUGUCUCACCGCCGCCACCACUAGAGUCGACGGACUUUCCUUGGCCAGCCAUCCAACUCUGAAGCCAGAACUCCAUGCGUGUGAGGCUUGCCCCUUUCCUUCCCGGCACGUGAGGUUCUGUUCGACACCGCUUUCCUACGCAAUCUUCUCCGGUGCCCUUUUUGACUUCUUUACGACCAUCUUUUGCUGCUACCUGGUCUUUUGGUGAUUUGGUUAGGCUCUCUUUGUGUACAACCUUGGAUACCUCCUAUUCUUUCACGUUUCAUUCUUUUUAUCAUGACAGAUAGAAGGUAAAAAGGUUUCAAUUUCUAACUCUAAUAACCCUUUGUUGCAAAUUAGUUUGGUAAAACUUUAUGGAAUCAAUUAUCUUGCUUGGUCAAGGUCUUGUUUGUUGUUUAUCAAGGCUAAAGAACUGCAGGACUAUGUCAUUGGAAAUAAGAAGCAAUCGGAUGUGAGUGAUCCAGAUUUUUUCCAAUGAGACUCGAAUAAUUGUCUUGUUAUGAUAUGGUUACUUAACUCUAUGCAACUUCAUAUCUCUAAGUCCUAUUUGCUACUUGAUAUUGCUGCAAAGAUAUGGGAAGGCUUUGUCCUUAAUUUAUUUCAAGAUUGGGAAUGAUGCCCAAAUUUAUGAUAUUCGGAAUAAGAUCCAUGGUACUAAGCAAGGAGAAAUGACUGUCACCCCAUUUUAUUUUGAGUUAUGUGGCUUAUGGCAGAAACUUGAUUAUUAUUAGCACUUUCAGGUAGACCGUUUUAGAGAUACAGUCAAAUUUAAAAAAAUAAUCGAAAAGAAGCGGGUCUAUGAUUUUCUUGUAGACUUGAACAAUGAAUAUGAUCUAAUUCGGGUCCAAGUUUUGGAUAAAGACUCUUUUCCUUCACUAGAAAGGGCACAUGCCUAUGUUUAACAAAAGAAAGUCAUCGACAUGCUAUGCUCUAUACUGCACCAGUGAUUGGCUACUAGUUUGAGAACACUGCAACCUCCUAAUUCUGAGAAAGAUCGCCUGUAUUGUGACUAUUGUAGGAAAUCGAGACAUUAAGGAGGCUUACUGAAAGUUAUAUGGUUGUCCCACUAGAGGCCGUGGGGGAAAUGAAAAUUUAUCAUAAACUGUGGAGGAUCCCCUUAAGGAGACAACAGACGUUGAGUUCGUUUCCUCUAAUAAAAUUUAGAGUCUCAAGCGCUUUUUGUCUUUUAUUCACACCUUUUCCUCCUCUGAUGCCACAUCUAACUUUGUGAAGUCAGUUAAUGCUUCCUCUGUUGAUACUGUCCUAUGGAUUAUUAAUUCUAGUGCAAAUAGACAAAUGACAGGCUCUUGUAAAGGUUUUCUCACUUAUUUUUCUUCUCUAAUCAAAGACAGUAUUAGAAUUGGUGAUGGCUUUUUUACUCCUAUAUCCAGAACAAAUUUUGUUAUUUGUGCACCCAAUAUUAAAUUAUCAUAUGUUCUUCAUGUUCUACAUUUUUCUGUCAAUCUUUUAUAUGCCAGUGUUAUCACCAAUGCUCUUAACUGUAAAAUUGAAUUAUUUCCUGAUCAUUGUGUUAUUCAAGACCUUUUCAUAGGGAAGAUGAUUGGCAAUAGUAGACUACAUGAUGGCUUAUAUAUGUUGGAAGGUGAUCCAAGUUUUAUGAUAUCUCAAGCCUAAUUUAGAGAAAAUAAGAAUAUCAAUCAGGAAAUAAUAUAGUGUCACAGGCGGUUAGGGCAUCCAUAAUUUUUUAUGUUAGAAAAAUUUUAUCCUAAUUUGUUUGUUAGAACUCAGUUUGUUCUUUAUUUUGUAAUGCUUAUAAGUAUGCUAAGCACACUAGAACUCCUUAUCCUUUGAGUCAUAAUAGAAGCCAAAUUCCUUUUGUAACUAUUCAUUUUGAUGUUUGGGGGUCUACUUAAACUGUAUCCUUAUCUCCUUAUCUGGUAAUCGAUGGUUUGUUACUUUUAUUAAUUGUUGUACUUGGAUGACUUGGGUAUAUUUGAUUAAAGCUAAAAGUGGUCUUUUCUUAUUUUCAAUUUUUUCACAAAAUGAUUCGUACUCAAUUUGAUAGGUGAAAAGAUUUUGAGAACUGACAAUGGAAGAGAACAUAUGGAUAGUAGGUUUUUUGCAUAUUUAGACUCCAAUGAAUAGUAUACCAGACAAGUUAUUCUGGUACUAGUGCACAAAAUGGGGUUGCUGAAAGAAAAAACAAACAUCUACUGGAAGUAGCUCGAUCGCUUUUGUUCAUCAUGAAUCUAUCCAAAGCAUAUUGGUGAGAUGCAGUUCUUGUAUUUGCUUAUCUUAUCAUUCGAAUGCCCCUCAAAACCUUCGACUUUAUGAGUCCUUUGGAGGUUCUACAAGGAAGAAAUUUAUAUAUUGUUCCACCAAAAAAAUUUGGGUGUGUUUGCUUUGUCCAUACUAGGACGACAAGAAAGUUGGACCCGAAGACCCUCACAUGUGUGUUUGUUGGGAGUUAUCACCCUCCAUCUGGGAAAUACUUUGUCGGUAUGGAUGUUAUCUUCAGAGAAACUGAACCCUAUUUCAGUAUCACCUAAUCACCUUUCCAGAGGGAGAAUAAUGAGCAAGAAGAGGUGAUCUCUAAUUUCGUGAUUCUGAAUGAUCUGGUUUAGACAGAGAGUUUUAGUAGACAGGGGAGACAUCUAAUUAGGGGGAAAGAAUUGGAUGUUUGGAUAAGCCGGAUUUGAGGAGGUAUUUGAGGAGAGACAAGGUAGAAGAAGCCAUUUUGCAGCCUACUCAGAGUCAAGAAUCUUCUUUCUCUUCUUCUGGUGAGUCAUCCUCAACUGUUGAAUGCUCCAAUGAUUUAGAUAAACCCAUUGCACAUGUGUCAAAUCUCGUAUCAAAUACUCUAUUUCUAACUUUGUUUCUUAUGAAUUCUUGUCUCCCUCUUAUAGAGUUUUUGUCUUGUCUAUUUCCUAUGUGUCUAUUCUAUAGGAAACCAGCACUGGCAAAAAAUGAGACAUGGGAGCUUGUCUCUCUUCCACCUGGAACGAAACUAGUUGGCUAUAAGUGGGUAUCCAUAGUGAAAUAAAAAGCUGAUGUACAAUUAAACAAUUUAAAGCUAGAAUGGUUGCUAAAGAUUUCAUCCAAAGGUAUGGAGUGGAUUAUCAAGAGACAUUUGCCCCAAUUGUAAAAAUAAACUCAAUCAGAGUCCUUUUAUCUUGUGUAGCCAAUUUGGGCUGGGACUUACGACACUUUGAUGUGAAGAAUGUAUUUCUCCAUAGAGAUUUAGAGGAAGAGGUGUUCAUGGAGAUCCCUUUUGGGUUUGCUGACGAGAAAAUAUAAGGAAAGUUGUGCAAAUUAAAAAAAGUUUUGUAUGAGUUAAAACAAUCUCACGGAGCUAGGUUUGACAGACUUAUCAGAGCCAUGAUGUCCUUUGGUUACUAACAGAGCAAUGUUGAUUAUACUCUGUUUAAGAGAAAAUGACUCAACUAAAAAGGUUAAUAGCUUAAGAAUUUGAAAUAAAAAAUUUAGAAAAACUUUAAUAUUUAAUAGAUAUUGAGCUUGCCAGAUUAGGAAAAAAAAGGAUCUUUAUUUCUAAAGAAAGUACAUUCUGAAUCUUUUGGAAAAAACUAAUAUGUUAGGGUGUAAACCAGCAAUAUCUCCCAUUGAAAGUAAUGCAAGCAAGAAUUAGUGAGUCUGUGGAUGUUGGGAUAUACUAGAUUGGUAGGAAGGUUGAUUUAUCUCUUGUACACUCGACCGGACAUAGUCUAUGCUAUUAGCUUAGUCAGCCAAUUCAUGCGUGAUAUGCAUGCUGACUUUCGCUUCUUUACUCCAAACAUGGUCACUUCCGAGUUGAAACUUUUAUAGAUGCAGAUUGGGCAGGAUCUUAAUUUUGGGCUACUGCACAGUUGUGAGAGGGAACCUUGUCAUUGAAAAAGCAAAAAAUAAAGUGUUGUUGCUCAAUCAAGUGCUGAAGCACAAUACAAAGUCAUGACUUAAGGCCUGUGUGAACUUUUAUGGUUGCAAAAGUUAUUGGUGGAGCUGAGGUUGCCCGAGAGACAAGAUAAUUUUGUAUUGUUACAACAAAGCUGCCAUCAAUAUAGCACAAAAUUCAGUUCAACAUGACCAAACGAAGCACAUUUAGAUCGAUAGACACUUCAUUAAAGAAAAUUAACGGACAGUAUCUUGAGUUUAAUUUAUGUGACUUCUACUGGGUGGCUUGUAGAUGUAUUUAUUAAAGGGCUUAACAAUAGAAUUUAUCAUAAUCUGAUUUGCAAUUUGGGCAUGUGCGACAUCUAUGCACCAAUUUGCCGGGGAGUGUUGACUUAUUUGCUAAUUUCUAGUGAUAUGAUUUGAUUACUGAUUUUAGGCAUAAAUUAGUAUUCUUAAUUAUUAAUUAUUUUUGUAGUUAUUUGAUUAUUUGCUUUCCUUUUAGUCGUAAUUUUGUGUAUAAAUAGUCAUAUAAAUCAUUAGUAAAGGUCAAGAGUGAAAUACUUUAAAAUUCUCCAAAAUUCUUCAAGUUAUAAUUAAUAUAUUAAAAAAUAUACUAAAAAACAUAGAUCGAUGAAUUUACUGGACAUUAUUUAAAAGUGAAAUAGAGGAUCCAAUUCUCUUGGCAGUUGAAGUGAAUGCCAUUUGAUUGUGCUCUUUUGAAAAAUGAGUAAACAAAAACCAUCAAGCCAUCUGCUUUAUUAUCCAAAGUUUUUCUAAUUUUUCAGCAUUUGUUAAUUGCUGCGGAGGCAUCCUUUAAUCCCUAAUUUCUAUUGUGUUUCAAGGAGAAUUCGUUUAUCCAAAAUUAAAGUUGGACAACUGAUUUAUAACACAUAUCAAUAUGGGUUUGAUUAUUUAAAAGAUACAUACAAAGCUCAAAUUGAAUCAUAAUGUAUGCAUAAUGACAAUAAAGUUCCUUUUAAGUGUGAGCAAAAUCUAGAUAUCUAUCUAUAUUCAUAUUGCCUAUCGCAGGUUCAAGGUUUUUUCACAUUUUAUGAAAUCAUUCCUGUGUACAACAGAUAUAAAGUUGAAAUAAAAUCAAAUUUAUCAAUGCUUUGCAUUUGAACAUAUCAAUACUUGCAAUUCUGUAGGAUCUUGUUGAAGGAGCAACUAUAGGAUGCUUAUCACCAUAUUUCUCCGCAUAUUCUUUAAACCUAUAUCAAAAUAUUGACACAUGAAUUAAAUCUUAUAAUAUAUCAUAGAAAUAUAUAAUUGAAUAUCUACUACAACUAGAACACAAUAAGCUACAUAUAAGGAUAGAAAAUAACAUCCAACGAAAUAAAAACGAAUAGAACUACUUAAUUGAAGAAAAUAUACAAUAUAUUAUUGUAUCUUGUAUUCAUUCAUAAAUUCUCUUGAUUAAUAGGAUCAACUUAACUAGAAGUUUUAUAACAUUGGGUUAUGUAAUACUUUAUGAUUAAAAUAUUAUUUAAAAACAUGGCUAGACAUGCCUUAAAUCAUUUCUUAUUUUCAAAUUUUUUAAUUCUAUUUGUUUAAAAUUAAAAUUAUGAUAUAUAAAAAACAAUGUGUAUACAACACUAAAUAAAAGUUUCAGCACAGAUGGGAGUAUAUUAAUAUUAAAUUAAUAUAUUAAAAAUAUAAUCAUAAAAAUUUAAAUUUCUUGAUAUGUUUUACAAUUAUAAAUUUUAAACUUAAUUAAGUGGAAGUUAAAUGCAAGUAGGAUUAAUAAAUUUAAAUUGAUAUAAACUCUUAAAUUAAUUCAAAUAAUUAAAAAUAAUGUAAUUGUAAAUAAUAUGAAAGUGAAGGAUGUUUUUGUACAUCCCAUUAUUCCCCCUCCCCCUUCCCACAUUUAUAUGUAUUAAUAUUAAUAUUAUAGAUUAUGGAUGUGCUCCAUUUGUCAGUCGAAUUGCAGGUUCUUAGGAUAACUGACAGAUCCUUUUAUGCAGGAAUUGAAGUCAAACAAGCCAUCUAAACUUGGAUCUAUAGGUAACUGGCUUCAGUGUAAAGAGCUUAUUGAUGGUGAAGGAGAAAGUGCUAAUGGAACUAUAUGUGGAAAGUGGCGCAGGUAAGCCAAAUAACGGUGAUAUGAAUGAGCUUACUUUUGGGUUUAUUUUAACUUGCAUAUAAUAAGAAACUUUAGAAGUUUCACAUAUGCCUGUUAGAAUAUCCAACUCUAAAGCUCAGAUGUUGAUUGCAAGGCUUCUGCUCAAUAACCUCUACUGUUCUUAUUGAGCUGACUCUUAAGCUCUAGAAAUACUUGAGGAGUAGCUUUCAAUAAAGUGUCAUAACUUCUAUGUUUCAAACAGAACUAAGUACAUGGAGAAUUUACAAUCACCAACAAUGUGCAUGUGAAUCAUAAUAUUUACGGCCUAUUUUUUCACAAUUCCCUAAAUUUGUGAGAAUUUUCAGCUCUAAUACAUAGUUUCAUUUUAAUUAAUUUCCUACUUUCUAUAAUUGAUAGCAAAUUAGCAAUUGUAUCUAGGUGAUAAGAAUCAUUCCAUGAUGCACUUGUCUAAGGAGCUAUAACUGAGUUGGCACGGUGACAUAUUUAGGCAAGGUAAAUACAAUUUGAAUGAUUGAUUGGGCACUGCAUAAAGUUGUUUACCCCUUUGAAUUUCUCUAUCAAUUUUCAAACCUACAACAAUUUGGGGUUUAGACAACUUUGAGUAGGUCUUCUAGCCAACCAUUUAGAUCCUAUUCACAAAUGCUCAGCCAUGUCAGCAUGCCAAUUUAGUGCAAGCUUGAUGUAAAUACACCUCAUUGUGUUAUUCUUAUUCUAAAUACAAUCACCUUAUAGAGAAUGUGGUGCUGUAUUUUACAUACUAGCAUAUUACUCACAUUGCAUAAUAGCCUUGCAUAUGUUACUACUUAUAAUUGAAAAAAGUGAUAGUCAAAUAAAAGGACAAAAGAUCAAAGAAAAUUACCGUAUCUUCUUUAAGCCUUUUGAUAUUGAUGAAAAUUGAGAAUAAAUAUUUAGAAAUUUGAUUUCAGCCUAAGUUUUUAGGGUUAUGAAAAAUAAGUAGGAAGGAGCAUGUGGCUGAGAAAGGAUGGGAGUUUAAAGAAAGGUGGUAGCAACUUUAAAUGGUGUAAUGGUUAUUACUAUCAUUACAGAAAUUGUGACACAUUUUCUAAUUGCCAUUUUGGGUUAAUUGACUAUUACAUGGUUCAUGCCACUCUAUAAUGUCCAUUAGGUGCAUGUUGAUUUCUUUUCAUUGUGACUCAAUCAUCAAAUCAAAUAAGAAGGCUAGAAUUCCGUUAAUUACUGAUCAUAUUCUAAUUCAUAUAUGUAGUUGAUACCUUGUGUCAGUGAGGCCAUUCUGAAAUAUGAGUGGCAUUACUUUACUAGUGAACUUUAAAUAUGAGAUCGAAGAAAGAAGUUUUAGCUUCCAUGUCCAUAAAUUUUGGUCGUCUUCGAAGUUUUCAGUUGAUGUGGAAUCUCACUGCAAGACUCAAAAGUUUUUGGCCCUAAAUAUUAUUGAAAAAUAUUGGGUCAUUGAAUUUAGAGUUUAGAGUUUAAGAAGCCCUUUGUUAUCGUGGAUGCGGCUUUUGGAACUUUAUAGUUUAUAUGGAUACUUGUUCACAUAGGAAGCCCUUUCUGACACCUCUAGUGUACAAAAAAAGGCAGGGGUCAUUCAACAAGCAGUUGCCUUAUGUGCCUUGGCGCCUUGUGGUGUGGACACAACCAUACAAGUCUCUAAAAUGGCACGCCUUCUUAUUUCCACCUUUAGUGAGCACUUGCAUUGGCUCCACUCAAAAUUUGCUGAUCUACCAAGCCAAUGUUCUCUUCACUAUUUUUGGACUCCUUUAGCCCUUUUUUUCCUGGUGUGUUUGAAGUUGUCCUUUUUUAAAUACUAAUGACGAUGCUGUAUGGGUCUUUUAUUUCAGUAUUUUUUUUUUUUUACAAAAAGAGACUAACAUGCUUUUUAGGUAAUUUUUUUUUUUGGGUUACUUGCCAUCUAUUUCUAAAGAAAAUAAAUAUUAACUUGUUAUUUAGGUCCUCUGUUUCUAAGUUAUCUAAAGUUGCUUUAUUUGUUUGAAUAUCAAAAUUUGGGAUUUAUUUUAUUUUUUUAGAUGUCCAAAUUUUGUUGUUUUAUUUUCUAUUGAGUUCCAAAAAUGAAUGAUGGAGAAGUUUUAUUUAUUUUGUAUUUUUUUAUGCUUAUUAGUGCCUGUAAAUUGGUAAUUUUGAUAAGUUUGGUUUAGACCUGUAUCUAUUAUUAUUAUUUUUAUUUUUUAUUAAUUUCUAUUUUUCUGAGCCUCAGUUCAUUCAGGUGCAUGUCUGCUUCUUGCGCCUUGUACCUAGGGCCAAGAUUCCUUUUCGCUAAUGCGCUUUGAGUUUCUCAUACCAUGUUUUCAUGUAUGAAAUACAAGCCAGCUUGCCUGUUUUUCUUAAUUCCACAUAUUUUUCCACUAACCUUAAGUGAGAGUUUAUAUAUAUGUACCUAAGGUAGAUACUUUAUGAUAGAGAGGCAACUAUGGUUGCGAACUUGCCAGUAUUGGAGUUAAAGUAAUGUAUAAAGUAGCUAAUUCAAUCAGUCAAAACCACAAAAUACUUUGAAACUACAGGUGGAAACAUGAAAUGGAAACUACUUGUGCAUAUGCCAAUUUAUUGCCCAAGUAUAAUAUUUAAUAUGGGUGUGCAUGUAAUUGGAAAAGCAGAGGUUAGACAGAAGGCGAGAAUAAAAUAUUUGCUAGUUUCCCAUUGAAAAUCCAAGCUGCUAAUUUCAUCUACUUAUAAACCCUACAAUGAGGCUGGCACUUUCAUUUUGUUACUUCAGACAUACUGGGUUAGAGGAUAUGGAAAUAUUACCGAUCUAUUGAGUUUUUGGGUUAGAGAAUGUGGAAAAGUUACUGACCUGCUGGGUUGGAGGCUGUGGAAACUUUAUCGACCUAUUGGGUUAGAGAAUGUGGAAAAGUUACUGGCCUGCUGGGUUAGAGGCUGUCGAAAUUUUAUUGAUCUGUUGGGUUAUGGGAUGUGGAAAUGUUACUGAUCAUGGGUUAUAGGAUGUGGAAAUGUUAGUGAUCUUGGGAAAUUUUUAUGGCAAUAUCCCUAUAAACAGUACAUAGUUUGCUUUGCUGCAAGUGAAUAAGGGUGAACCUGUCAUGCCUUAGAAUGUACAUUUUCCUGAACCUUUUGGUGAUCUAUGUUGCAACCUGCUAAUAUGAAGAAUGUCUCCAGUCGAUAAUAAGUUCAAUAGCUUUCUUUGCACUUUGUUAGUGUUGUACCAUGCCAAGGUCAUUUGUCAUUAUAUUAGGAUGUGUUUGUGGUUGUAUUUGGUGCUUUGAGCUUAUCAUAAGCCUAUUAUGACUUGUUAGGGGUUUUCACCCUGACGUUGCAUUCAAUUGAAUUGUGUGGUCAUGUAGGAUAACCUGCAAGUCUUAGAUAGUUUCUGAUGGAUCAGAAAGUAAAGACCCUCUGACUCACGUCAUCUACUAAUAAUUUGCUUUGUUGAAAGAUCCAGACACAACAAUUUAGUGCACUAGUGAGUUUACUAAUGGAAAGCAAAUUAAAGGAGAACUUAGAAAGACAUAACACAAAGGAUACAGAAAGAGAAGAUGCUAGGUUGACAUGUCAUAAGCAAGAGUAAUAUAAGAAGACGAUAUAUAAGACUUAAGAUUGGACAAAAGGGUAGAAUUACCUUAUAUAUGAUCGGUAGCAUCAGAAUCAAUAACCCAUUUUGAGGAUGAAGACGCAAGGCAUGUAGUAGAGUUACUUAACUCAGCAAUUGCAGUGAUAAGAGUGUUAGAGGAUUUCAGAGAUGCCUGAUAUUGAGUGAAUUAUACAUACUCAUCUGUAAAUAUCAAAAUUCCUUGAUCAGGAGAAGUCUCAAUUGCCAUGUGCAUCAUUUGUGAGCAUUGAUUCUUAUUUUGAAGUUUCAGGCAUGUCUUCUUAGUGUGUCUAGAUUCACGACAAUAAUAACAAAUGAUUCCACCAGAGUCAAAAGUAGAAAUUGCUUUUCCAGGACGCUGAGAUCCUCUACUACUAUUAAAAUCUCCCCUAUUCUCACUUUUGUUAUUCUGUCUGCCAUUGUUAUUGCUACUAACAAGGGUACUAGUGGUGUGUGAAGGAACUGGAGAGGAAGAUUCUGUAUGCAACACCCUAGUGAAACAUCAUGUAACGAUGAUAUUUCAAAAGUAGAAAGAAUUUGAGAUUUAACUGUCUCAAACUCCUGCAAGGAAGCUCAUAACAGUCAUUUGCCACGAUGAUAUUUCAAAAGUAGAAAGAAUUUGAGAUUUAACUGUCUCAAACUCUUGCAAGGAAGCUCAUAACAGUCAUUUGCCACGUUGAACUUGUUGAGUUUUCACAUUUGUACUAAAAAGCAUCAAGACAUUAAGUUUUUUCUAAACUCUUUAAAAAUCCAUAAAAUAUAAGGUCAAAGUUCUAUCUUGUUUCUCAGCCCAAUAAAACGCCUUAUACACCUUAUAAAUGCGAGAAAUAUUCAUUUUAUUUGAGUAUAAAAACUCCAAAUAAUCUAUUAAUUCUUUAAUAAAUUCACAGUGAUUAAUAAGACUGAUUAUCUCACUAUGAAUGAAAUUUCGGAUCUUCAAAAAUAAUCGAGCUAUCCCUUAUCCAAUCUUUCCUAGUGUCAUAAGUUGGAGGAUCCUUAGUAAGGUGAUCGUCUAUUUUGAUACUUCGUAAAUAAAUACGGAUAGUCUUCCUUCAAUCUAGAAAAUUAGAUCUAUUUAAUUUAUGUUCUGCGAUUUUAGUCAUCACAGAAAUCACAUCAGCUAUGGUAUUUUUAAUUUUAGCCAUGGAAACAAUCCAUACAAAUCGGCACAAAAAAAAAAGUGACGUGAACGGUAUCCAAAAAUGCAAUCCAACCCAAAAAUACCUCCGCAAAACACCCAAAUGGCGAACUGACCAUAAAACUAAAGGGAUGACCUCGGGGCAACACCAGCGAUGGUGACCGGAGCACAGUCGGACACGUGACACGCCUCCACAUGCCUGCGAGUGGGACGGCAGGCUACUCACCGGUCGACAAUCGUCGGCUCUUCAUGGAAGCGUCGCCGGCUCUCCGGCGUCCUUCCUAGAUGGACAGUGAGAGAUAAAUAUCACCCUAUAAGGGUGAUUUAAAAGAAUAGGACAAAUGGAGCCCUAAGUCUCCAAAUUGAACAUAAAAAAAUAUAAUAAAUCUUUUGUCUACAAGACCCUGUUACCAUGUAGAAAAUUAAUAUUUUUUGUGUAUAUUACAAUAGGGAUUACAAUAUAUUUAUAUAUGAAAAACCAAGGGAAUCUUUUUAUCAAACCUAUGAUCACGAUUAAGCAACUAACAAAUCUAUCCAUAUUUACUUUCUAUAACAGUUUUAAAGUUGUGUUUAAAAGUAAUUUUUCAAAUCUAUAGUUUAAAGUUGUAUUUAAAAAUAAAUUUUUAAAUACAUGAUUUUGAAGUUGUGUUUGAAAGUAUAUUUUUUUAAAGUUUAAGCGUUUAAAAUAUAUAUAUAUAUUUUUAAGUUUAGGUGUUUAAAAGUAAUGUUUUUUAAAAUUUAGGUGUUUAUUAGGGCAUGAUUAAAGUUGAGAUGUCUAAUAGGUAAAAAUUCUAAAGUACAAGUGUGCAAAUAUGCAUUUUGCCAAAAUUUAUUCUAUAAUGGCUGUUUCAUUACAUAACAGUUGUUACCAUGAUAGCAAUUCGAGUAUAAAGUGCUUGGUAGUUUAACAGUUAAGGUAAUAGUCAUAUUAUAUAAUUACCAAGAAGGGCAUUUUUAGUUUUGUUACAUUUUAUUUACUGUAUUGAUUAUAAACAAAUGAGUUUCUAUCUUUUAAAUUAACUUUUUUGUAGUACAAGCUUCUAUUUACAUAAAAUUAUUGUUUUGUAUAUAUAUAUAUUCACACACACACACACAUGCACACACAUAAAUGUUUUCAAUUCUUAAAAAAAGUCAAAUGUAUAAAUAAAUGAUUUAUUGUAUUGUUAGAUUAUUAGUAAUUAUUUCUGUAAUUAUUUUGAAAUUUAAUCGCAUGUGUUGGGUCCAAGAGAUAGGAUUUAUAGCUUGUACAACUUUUGCUGCUCUUUGCUAAAAAAUAAAAUCUAGCUGCUUUCUUUUUUUGUUUACCGAACACUUAUAGAUCUCUGUUGGGCAAACUAUUAAACUGCUCAUAAAACUGAAUCAAUCGGGCGCUAAAUAUAAUGCAUGAUAUGCUUUCCUAUUGGAUAAAUCACAUUAUUGAAGCACUUUCCCUGGUUCAGAAAGGGAACAAUACUGCAGUUGAGCAAUGGAUUCCUUUUGAGAUCUUAGGAGAGGAUUGAUUCUUCAGUAGGAUACAGUUUCCAACUUGAUUUGUUUAAUUCACUGUGAUCACUUGCCAUCUCAUUUGUUCAAUGCCAUUGACCUAUUCCUGUGAAAAACGGAAAAUUAACAAAUUUAAUUAUUAUUAUUAUUUUAAUUUGGAAUAUCCCAGUUAAAUGCUAAAUUAUCAUGUAAUUACAUAUCUUCUUGAUAUGGGAGCAUAAUGUGACAAAUAUGAUACUAUCUUGAAUUGAGGCUCUAUAUUCCACUAUGAUUGAGACAUGGCAUUUUAUAAGGUUCACAAACCAAGAAAAUCCUAAAAUAAUUUACUUUUAUCAUAGUUAAUAGCCUACAUUGCUGUACUGAUAUUUUCCUCUAAGUGGUUCUAUUUAAGAUGUCUAUGAUUUCCAAGCAUUCAGGGACCUUUUUUGCUGUCUUUUCCUAUUUUUCUCUUGUUUUCACAUUUGACAUCUUGAUGCAUGUGCCUGGGUGUUGCUUGUGUGUCUCUUGUCUGAAUUGACCUCACUGAUCAUGUUAGUGUCUCUUGUUAAUUGUCGAUGAACCUUAUCUUCUGUCUUGACGUAACAGGGCUCCCUUGUUUGAAGUCCAAACUGAUGAUUGGGAGUGCUUCUGUUCCUUUCUUUGGGACCCGAUUCAUGCUGAUUGUGCAGUACCUCAGGUGAUUUAAGUUUCCAAUUUUGAUGUUUCUGCAUCUUUCUAUAUUAGUUUUUUGGCCUUAUAGAUGAUGAAAACACUUUUAUAUUUCUUCUCUAGAAGUCUGAAGACAAAAUGGCUUGGAAGUCCCAAAAUUUGUAUGCUGCUACUGUUUUGAGAAUUGCAUGCUUAGGCCUGUGAUUAAAAUCAUUGCUUUCAAGAGUCUCUCAUAAUUGGUUCGCAAUCAUGGUCUAGGAAAAGGCGAUGAAUAUUUUUGAUAUUGUGUUUCAACAUGCUUCUUUUUAUUACUGAAAUGCUUGAAUACCGAGCUUACAAUCUAAAUAAAUGAGAUUCUUGUGUUGUCAUUCUAUCAUGGCAAUCUGUGAUUAGCUGAAAAUCUCAGCUUGCAGGUGGAAAUUAUCAGUUGGUGAAUCUAUCUUAAACUAUUGAACAUUGUCAUCUACAAUGUUGUUUGAUAUUAUUUCAAUCCACUAAUUUGGUUACAUUUAUGUAAUCAUCUUUAAUUCAUGUUUCCAAACAGGACUAAUGCCUUGUAAAAUAUAAAUAUCUUUUAGAAGAAAAAAUAAAAAUAGACAUUGUACUUAUCAACGUUCAAACUUGCAAAUAAAUAAAACAAAUCAGUCAGGAAGAAGCUCCUGUAUCCAAAACCCUUUGAGCUACCUUUGUAUGCAUUUUUUCAUUUGUAUCUAUAAAAAUAGGCUACAAGUGAAGCUUCAUAUAUUCUUUAACUAAUUGCUAUAGUUAUACAAGGUUUAUAUGCUAUAUUUCCCUUUUAAAUUGGCUAAAAUUAUUAUCAUUGAUAGGUUUGGCUAAAAAUGAUUAAAAAAGGAUGGGAUAAAAUUGAAAGACAUGAAAAUUUGAAGAUUUUUCAUGGUCAUCAGGCCUUUCAAAUUUAACCAAGGGAUUUAUUUUUGGAAGGUCCUUGUUUUGUUUCCUCUGUACAUACCAGUCCUGUUAUUCUAAUCUUAAUAGUUUUAAAAGUCUGAUGUUGAGUGAGUGAAUCUAUCCCUUUGAUGUCAUGUAGAAUCUGUUGCAAACUGGUUCUCAUUAAUCAGCCAGUAGAAUGAGUUGAAUUAUUUAUAAGAUCUUAGGGUAUUCUUUUCUUUUUUUUUAAUUCACUUUUCACUAAAAUGAUGGGUGCUUCUGGUAGGGCUAUAAAUGAGCCAAACUUGAGCAUAAUUUUUAGCCUCGUUUAGUAAACAAGCUAAGUACGGGCGUGUUCAUAGAUUCACAAGCUAGUUCAUGAAUAUGCUUAUUUAAUUAACAUCAUUUAGUUUUAAACAUAUCAUUUUUAAACUAAGACUCGUUAAGAUUAUAAAUUAAUUGAGUUAUUCGUGAGUUAUUCGAAAUUUGCCUCGAUAAAAGCUGGGCUUGUCUUGGCUUGUUUGCUAAGUGAACCAAGCUUUAGCUUAUUGAUGUUUGACUUGAGUUCGAAAUGCAUCAAGCUUGCAUUCAGCUUGAGCUCGAAAAGUUUUUGAUGAACCAAACUUAAGUUCUAAAGUUUGGCUCGACUCAGUUCAUUUACACUCUAGCUUUUGGCUUACUUUUUCAUUCAAUUCCAGGUAGCAGUUGAAGAUUGAACAUUCAUAAAGGAAGUUCAGUAUGGAAUUUCUGAACUGUGGGGUACCUGCAUAUAACCAGUUCAUAUAUGGAGGAAAGCUCAAUUUUGCCCCAGAAAUUUUGGCCCAUGUCCAAAGAAACCCAGUUUUAUGUUAUUGUUACUAUUAUUAUCGGGUAAAAAUUAGGUCUAUUUGAACUUAAAUGGAAAGUUUUGGGUUAAUUUGGACAAAAACUUAAAAAUGGGUUUAUUUGGAGAAGGCCAACAAUUUAGGGCAAAAUUGAACUUUAUCUUGUUUAUAUAUUGUGGUGAUUGGACCUCCAUGUAGAUCUGGCCAUGUCAAACCCAGUACCAAAACCAUUCAACAGUUUGUGGCUUCAACUGGACCUGAACUGUCUUGGGAGGGCUAGUCCCAUUUGUUCUCUCCUUGAACUGAAUCAAACCAGAAUUGGUGAUCCACUCUAUUUUGAACUGGCUUUCAAAAAAAAAAAAAAAAUAGGAAAAAUUUUUCAGUCACUGGAUUGAGUUAACUGGAUUGAACUUGGAUAAAACUGGAACCAGAACUGAAUCAAAACCAGUCCAGUUCAGGGCCUCUGGUUCCACAGAACUUGACCAGAAGCUACCAGUGGUUGCCUCUUCUUCCUUGUGCACUUGCUGUGUCUUUGUAAUGGUUUAGAAGCAGUGUUGCUCCUCAUUUCUUCCAUUAGCGUUGCUGAAUGUAUCAUAGCAUUGAUCACUGACAUUUAAAAAGGGACGCAUUUCAUCAGCUGGGAUUGAAAUAGUUUGGGUGACAUCAUUUUUGCUGUUUUCUUAGCCAGUUGUCUUGAUUAGAUUAUGUAUUUCUUUAACAAAUUUGCUGUAUGCUCAAUUGUAUUCCUGGCCAAAUUUCAUUUUAUGCUGCAGGAGCUGGACACAGAUAAAAUUCUGCAGCAACUCAAGUAUAUUCAGAUGGUAUGCUAUAGACUUUUCUUCAUGGUUUAUAUUGUAAUUCCAUUACAUUAGUGCUUCUUAUUGCAUAAAGUUUUGUGCAUUGGAUGGUGAGGCUGAUGUCUGGGCAGAUAUUGGAUUCCUUAAAAUCUUUACAUUAUUGUUAAAUCCAUUGAGCUCCAAGAUACUGAAGUGUCUAUACAUUGACCUUGAACAUGGACUAAAUCUACAAAAGCAUAAACCUACUUUAAUAUUAUAUAAUAUAGGGAAGACCUUGAAUCUUAAUGUCAAUAUCCACUAUAGUACUUUGUUUCAUCGUUUUGGUUAACAUGAAUUUAUGCUGUGUAGCUGAGACCCCGAUUAUGUGCUAAACGGCGGAAAUUGAACAGCACCAAGAAAGAAGAUGAUUCAAUGGACAAUGAAGAUGAUGUGAGAAAUAUAAGAACUAAAAAAUGAGCAAUCAAUGCUCAUUCAGUGAUUUUGUUGGAAGCAUCUACAGCACUUAUGCUUGUACAUUCCUUCAUUAAAAAAAAAAAAAAAGAAACAAAUCAAAGCCAUGAAUUUCUGAGUUAUCACGGUUGUAUUGAAAUUUUUCUCCGCAGGAUAAUAAUUCGGUAUGAUAAUACAAAGCCAUUAGCUUUUGCCUUGAGUUUUGUGCUUCGUUUGCUUCCUUUUUCAUUACCCUUUUCCUCAGUUGCUGGGUUACUUGAGUUUUAAUGUCAAUACAGCAAGCUUGGGUUUCCAAGUUAUGUAAAUUCUCCUGUUUGUUUGAAUUGAUCUAUCCAUAAAUAGAAAACACCUUUAAUGGAAGAUCUGGGUUUUGGAAAUGUCUUUUUUCCUCUAUUGUUUUCCUAGUUCAUUUUCCUGGAAAAGCAAAUGACUGCAGCUGAUAUACUGAGAUUCUAUUCUGCAAUCUGAUACUGGGAUUACAAUAUGAGCCUAGUAUAGGAUUUUUGGUAAACAUUAUAAGUCUAUUUAUCUGUAAAUUCAUCCCAAGCUCCAGUUCUUAAUUAUUAAUUUUUAAAAUUUAAAUGUUCCAUUUGAGGCAAGACUAGACCUUAAAAAGUGAUAAAUUUAAUGUAUGAGUACUUUAAAUGGCAGAAAAAUUGAUUCUAGAGCAAGUGAAAAAAUGAUUAAAUUCAAGAAAUUAUUAUAAAUAGUCUAAUUGCUAAAUGGAUUUCCUGUUUAAGAACCAUUUGAAAUUCACGAAUGGGAAUAAAUUUACUAGAAAGCAUAUGUCAUUCAUCUAUGCAAAUUAUACAUUGUCAUGUUUAAAACUUGGUAGCAUAAGUUCCCCUUAGCAUAAUGCUGCUUUCAUAUCUAGUGACAACACGAUGAACAUCCUGUAAAAAUGGCCUUAGUCUAUCACUUGCUCCAUGAUGAACAAUUCGGAAAAAGUAAUCAAAGGUUGCUUACUGUAUAAAAUUCUCCUCCUUUAACCACACCCCAUCUUGAGUCCGAAUCUUCACAAUCUGAUUUCGUCCUCUGUUGAUAGUAUAAGAAUGGAAAAACUUUGUAUUCUGAUAAUACACCUAGGUGUUCCAUAAUCUCCUGGACUUUUUGCAUCAUCUGCAUCUGCAUUAUGAAGAAAUGUCGUUUGGAGCUUAUCCAGUCUACAUUUGAGGAAUUUAAUUUCUUUCUGAAUUGCCAAAACGCCCGGCUCCAAUGUGUCAAUUGUAUGUAAUACAACUUCAAUCUAUUCGACAUUUGACCAUGAAGAAUAGGAGUCUGCCAAACCUGCUUAAUGAUUCCCUUACGAAAGAGAAAGUUUGGGUACUCUUUCUGGCAAUAAAAUCAGGCCACGAAAACAAAGGUUCAUCUUUUUCAUGAAUCAACUGACAUUUUACAAAAAGAUUCCACCAUCCUGCGUUACCUGUAGCCUUAUCCAGACGUUCCAUCACCCUACUGUGAUCAUUAUGCUUAUUGAACUAGGUAUAUUCAUUACCUUUAAAUUGGACUUUAAAGCUAGUAGCGCCAAAGAGGCAUGGAUAUUAUAACUCGAAGGAGUUUCCUUUGUAUGGGUAUCAAUAAACAAAGCUAGUACCUCCAAAGAGGCAACUGAACCCACAUUCACAGGGACACGCACGAAUUAAGCUCAUGCAGCUGUAAGACCAGGUUGCUAAGUGGAACAUAGGACUGCUUACCUAAUCAUUGUGCACCAGUCAUAUUAAGCACCGUAUUUGGGGCUUGCCAUGAAGACAACUCUGAUCCCAAUCUACUCUCUUCGUGUCCUUAUCAAACAGGUGGCUUGCUUUCCUCUUCUAAACUCAUCAGAGUAGUGGAAAUGCAAACAACAGAAGGCAUCAUGGAACUUUUCGAGGCUGCAGUACUCGUCAUCACAAUCGAAGAAGGUGGCAAGAAAAUUGUAUCUAUCCCAUCUAAAUGAGCUGCACCCUGAGCAGCAAUUCCAAAUUGCAUGACAUCCAAUAUGGGAGUACAGCCCAUCGAUCCUUCAGUAAAUCGUUGUUAAAUAAAGUUAAAUUAAGGGCAUAACCGAUCAUUUAAAUUAAAUUAAUAAAAAUAGAGUUUUUUAUAACAAUUUUAUUUUUAUAAUAAAGUUUAGAUUGAAUUAUGAUAAAUUUAAUUAAAUAUAAUUUAAAUAUAAAUAAUUAAGAUUAAGAACUUUAACUUAUAUAAAGUAUUCUAAAGUUAAUUUAAAUAAAAUUUAGAUUUAGAAAAAAUAUAUACCUAGAAAUGUAAGAUUCAUAAAAAUAAUAAUAAAUUUAUAUUAUUUUAUAGGUAAUAGAAAUAAUGAUAAAAAAAAAUUACAAAAAUUAUAUGUGUGCUUGUGUAUAUAUAUAUAUUAUAUAUUAUAUGCUAAUUCGUUGCACAUAUUCAUUAUAUAUUUUUUAUAUUAUAAUUUUUUAUUAAUUUUAUAUAUAAUAUAAUAUAAUUAAUUAUAAUAUAUUUUUUGGAUUACUAAUUAAAUUUAGUCUUUUAUUAUUAUAACCGUUGGGUCUCGUCCCCUCCUGAGCUGAGUCAGGGCCCAUGAAAGCGAGACCGGUCCAGAGCUCGGAAUGCACUUAGGCAAGCCUGUCUAGCAGCUCAAGACUAGACCCUAAGACGUUAACCAGGCCAGGCCGCGCUCAAGCUCAAGACCGGCAAGAAGGAAGCCAGCCAGCCCUAUAAUGAGACAUGAGGAGGGGUAGCAGACCCAGUUUUUUCGCAGCCCCACUCGCACGCACAUUGGGAGGAAUUAAAUGGCCGCCUGACAUAGGUAAGGAAACUAACACUGGUAAGGAACUGACACUAUUAUAUAUUUGAAAUAUGAAACUUUUGAAAUAUAUUUGGAAUGAAACUUUUUGUUAAAAUACAUGUUGGUUGAAUAUCGAAACUUUAUGAAUAGUACACCGAAUAGUAUUUUAAAAUUAAUACUUUUAUUUCAAACAUUUUGAUUUAUUUUUACAAAUACCUUGUAUUAUUUUCAAAUUUAUAUUGAUUAUCUUAAAUGAUUUUAAAUUUAAUCUUAUUAAAAAAAUAAAUAAAUAAGUACUUUUAAAUUUGAGAAAAGUGAAUGAUUUUAAAGUUUUUAAAAUGUUAAUUCUGCAGAAAAAUUUUUAAUUUCGGAGGUAUUUUUGAUCUCCUAACUAACUUUCGGUCCCCUAACCUUCAUUUUCGGGGCACACUAAAGUAUGAAAGAAAAUUUAAUUUUGACAUUUUUUUUAUAUUUAUCUUUGAAUAUUUUAUAUGUUAAUCAUUUUCUCUUUAUUUUUUGAUAUUUCUUAUUUUUUCCCUCAUGUGUGGAUAUUUUUCUUACCUUUUGGUUAAAUUUUUUUCCCCUUUUUGGUACUUUUAUUUUCUUUUAAUGAUGUCAAAAGGGGGAGAUAAGUGUGUGUUGGAUGAUGUUUGAAAAGGGAGUUGAUAUAUAUUUAUGUUUAUUGGUUAUCUAUCAUGAAUGUCUUGAUGACUACUUUAUUUUGUAUUUUUUUUUUUAUGGUUAUAGUUCUUGUUGAGAUGCUCUAUUUUAUCUUUUUUUAUAGGUUUAUUCAUUCAUAUAGGAUUCAUUGCAUCUUAUUUUAUUGAGUCAAAACUUUUCUUACAUGUCUCUUCGAAUUUUAAGUAUGGCAUAAAUUAUUUUUGAAAGAGAAAGCACAUUAAGAAAUAUAAAUUUUCUAAAAUCUACACACUACGCUUGUUAUUAUUAUAUUAUCAUCCACCAAUUGUUUGUCAUCAUAAAAAAGAGGAGAUUAUUGGACCUAAGUAUUUUAAUCCUUAUUUUGAUAACUAAUAAACAAUUGGUGUGCUACUAAUUAUUUUUAAAAGUAUUUGUGUGAGUUUGUAGGCCCCUAAUUUAAAUAAAUGGAAUUGCUUCAUUUUCAAGAAUAAAAAGUGCUAAGAUUGGAAGCAUAUUGCAAAAAAAAAAAUCAAAAUAUAAUUUUUAGUUUAUGCACUGUGAAUUUUGAUUAAUUAAUUGUGCCAACUCAAUUUUUUUUUUAAUUUCUAAAACUUAUAAAUAUGGCCAAUUUUUAAGAAAUUGUCUUUAGGGACCAAUGAAAUUUGAUAUAUGAAGUUUUUUUGAAGAUAUUUUUAUAUCAAAUAAGAUAUUUCAAAUUAUAUGUUACAAAAAUUCGAAUAGAAUAAAAAUUGAAAGUUUAUAACUUAAAUUUUUGCUCCAUAACUCUUUGAGGGACCAAAAUGAAAAUUUUCAAAUGAAGUGCUUUUAAAAUUAUUUUUUAUCCAUUUAAAAGAUAUUAAAAUAUAGGUUACAAGGAUUCAAACGGAUUGAAAAUUAAAAUUUUGUAGACUAAGUUAUGAAUUUUUAAAAAUUUAAUAAAAUAUUUUUAUACUCCUAAAGUCAAUGUUAAACUUACGAGAGUGGAGAAGCAGAGACAAAAUUUCAAAUGUUCGGCAGCUAAAUAUUGAGACUUUAGGCCGCCGAAUGUCUGUUUUCAAGAAAUUGUAUUUUCACCUCUAAAGGUUCGGCCGAUAAACCUUAACCUUAGACUGUUGAAUCUAAGUUUUUCUAAACAGAAAAUAGUGGCUAUUUCAGUACACAAAUCACUCUAUUUUUAUUUAAUGCAUUCCCAUUGGCCAUAUUUAUGUUCAAAAUAUAAAUAUAAUGUAUUUUUUACCUGAAGACAGUCACAACAAUUAUCUAAACACAUAUUUAUUGAUAUUCAAAUUUUUCAUAUUUUUUCUCUCUCUAAAUCUUAAGUCAUAACAUUAAUUUCUUAAAAACUAAUUUUGAGUUGUAAUUAAUUUGUCUUUUAACUUUGGAUUCUGAAUAAAAUAGAAUAAUAAAAGAUGAGUCGUGUUGGAUACUGUCUACUUAUUCAUACUAGCCUUUACACUAAAUUUGAAUUUUAUGUUUCUUAUUCUGGCUAGAAUUAUACAUAUUUAUAUAUAUAUAUAUAUAUAUAUAUAUUUAUUGUUGUAAAUAGGGGUAAGUAUUCGGUCGGUUCAGUUUUAGUAUUUAUAAAAAUUGAACCGAAUCGAUUUUGAUCAAAAAUCAAAUCGAACUAAAUUGAUCUGAUUCGGUUUGAUUCAGUUUGAUUUAAUCGGUUUGAAUUUUUAAGAAAUUUUUAAUUUUUUACACUUUAUUUUUCGUAUUUUAAAAUUUAAUUAAAAUAUUUUAACUUUAAUAUGAUAUAAUUUCUCUAUAUUAUUAAAAAUAAUAUAUUAUUAUCACUAAUCAAUUCGAUUCAAUUUUUUCAAUUUUUUUCUAAUCAAAAUUAAACAGAAUCAAACUAACCAAAAUUUUUAAAAUUAAAUAUCAAAUCGAACCCAAAUAAAUAAAAAAUUAAACUGAAAUUUUAAAUUAAUUAGAUUUGGUCGAUUUUUUCGAUUUGAAUUGAAUACUGUUGAUCCAAACGGUACGAAUUUAACGGUAAAUAAAAUUUAUAAAUAAAUGCAAAUAACCAUAACAGUUUUAUUAAUGGAUGUUGAAAAUAUUUUUUUUAUUUUAUAAAUAAAUUUUACAUCGAUUUGAAAAUAUAUUUUGUAUUUAUUUAAUUUUAUAAAUCGAUUAAUCGUAUAAAUUUAUUUAUAUUUAUUUAAUUUGAUAAAUAAAUAAUAUAUCUAUGAAUAUGUUUAUAUUCAAUUAAUUUAAUUUAAUAUAUAUAUAUAUAUUUGUGAAUUGUGUAUAUCCACUUAAUUUUACAAAUAAAUUGUAUGUUUUGUUUGUAUUUAAAUUGUAUGUUUUGUUUGUGUCUAUUUAUUCAAAUGGAUUAUAGGUUUAUUUAUGAAUCUAUUUAUACUCAUUUAAUUUUAUAAACAAAUUACAUAUUCUUUUGAGAAGUCAUAAUUGUACAAAUGAGUUAUAUGUCUGUUUGUAAAUAUUUUUAUACUCAUUUAAUUUUAUAAACAAAUGAUAUUUGUGGAUAUUUUUAUGAAUGUGUUUAUAUUCAUUUAAUUUUACAAACGGAAUACACGUUGGUUUACAAAUCCAUUUAUAUUUAUUUAAUUUUAGUGUAAAAUUAUUUAUAUCUAUUUAAUUUUAUAAAUAAAUUAUACGUCAGUUUAAUAAACUUAUAAAAUUUUUUAACAAAUAAAUUUAAACUUUAAAAAGAUCCGCUCAAUUCGAUCAUACUCUUUUAACUAUUUGAAUUACAACUAAAUUUACCAGUAGAUUAGCGAUUUAUAUGUUAUUAAAUUUACAAAUGAAUAAAUUUUUUAAAUUAUAAAUAAAUUUAUAAAUAGAUUAAUUAUUUAUAUUGCAAAUAAAUUGUAUGCUAAUUAAUUGUAUCACAAAUGAAUUUACAAACUGUUUAUAUUAUAAACAGAUUUAUAAAAUCUGAUUGCCUGUUUAUAUGUAAAAUUUAGUAUAUAAACAAAAAUACAAACGAAUACUGUCACAGAUGAAUUUAUAAACCGUUUGUAUUAUAAUCAGAUUUAUAAAAUUUGAUUGUCUGAUUAUAUGUGAAAUUCAAUAUAUAAAUAAAAAUAUAAACAAAUAUUAUCACAAAUAGAUAUUCCGUUUAUAAUGUGAAUGGAUUAUUUUUAUUAGAAAAAAACAGCAAAUAAUAUUUUUAUGGAUAAAAGUAUGUUGGUGAUCAGUUUAUAAAUUAAAUUACAAAUGAAUUUAUCUUUUUAUAAAUUUAAUUUCUUUUAGUGUAUAUUAUAAUUUUAAUUUCAUGUAAAUAUUGAUGAUCGAAGUGCAUUUUAAUUUAAUGAGUAUUAGUUAGUAUUUGGAUAUAAAUUAGAUAAUAUAUUCCUAUUUAUACCUAGAGAUUUAAAUAAAUUUUGAAAUUUAUUUUAAAUAAUAAUUAACUUAAAUAGAAUUUUAUUUGAGAUAAAAUUACAAUUUCAUCGUGAAUAUAAAUAAAUUUGAAUUAAGACUAAUUUGUUUUAAAUAAAAUAAAUUUUAAAUAAUAAUUAAUUUUUUUUAUUUUAUCUUAAGUAAUACUAUCAUGAAUGAAUGCAAAUUUUGGUUUUUUGUUCUUUCUAUAUUAAAUAGAAGUUCAAAAUUUUAAUCUUUUAGAAUUUUAAAAGUAUUUAAAAUUAAUUUACAUAAUAAAUUUAAAACAAAUUAAUUUAAAUAGCUUUUUACUAAUAUAAAUAAUAUAAAAAAAAGUAAAGGAACGAUUGAAAAUCUUAUUAUUUCACUCUCCUUCCACGUUUAUAGAGGAAUAUAUUGCAACACACAUUAUAUAUAUUGUUAUAAUUAUGCAAUAUUAUUUUAAUUUCAAUAUUUAGUGUGCAACUUUAAAUGAUCCAACAUCUCCUAAUUGUAAACUUUUUGAUGUGGAAGGAUAUCAGGUAAUAAUUCGGUCGAUUCAGUUUAAAAUUGAAUUGAAUUAAAUAAAUUAAAAAUUAAAAUUUUGAUAUUUAUGAAAAUCAAAUCGAAUUAAUUUUGAUCAAAAAUCAAAUUGAAUCGAAUCGAUCUGAUUCAAUUCGAUUAAUUUAAAUUUUUAAUAAAAUUUUUAUUUUUUAAUAUUUUAUUUUUAAUAUUUUAAAAUUUAAUUAGAAUAUUUUAACUUUAAUAUAAUUUAAUAUCUUUAUAUUAUUAAAAAUAAUAUACUAUUAUUCCUAACCAAUUCAAUUCAAUUUUUUUAAUUUUUUCUGAUUAAAAUCAAAUUAAAAUUUUUAAAAUUAAAAAUCAAACUGAAUCGAAAUAAAUAAAAAUUUAAAUUAUAUUUUUAAAUUAAUUUAAUUCGAUUUACAAUGCUGAUCCUAACAUAAGGUAAUGCUCGGAGAAAACACAUCUAUUGUAAAGGUAAUGUUCGGAGAAUUACACUGAAGCAUUGCAUUCUGGAUAAUUAAAAUUCACUCUUACUAUUUCACUCUCCUUGUUUUCAAUUUUUUCUAUUAUAUUUCUCAUUUAGAAUGGAAGUAUUUUUCUUUCAAUUUACAAAAUAUUUUAAUUUUAAAGAAAAUAAAAUGGUAUAUAAUUUUAAUACAACUCAUUUAAAUUCUUUUCUGCUAAUUUCCAAGAAAAAAAACAAAGAUUACGUUUUUCAUCAAAAGUGCGCUCAUGAGCUGUAAAACUUGAGUUGAGCGUCCAAAAGAAUUGCCAUCUCCAUUGUUUUAACUUGCCACUUGCCCCUUGCCACCCACCUCUCGAUCAUGGACAUUUAAGUCAAGCCACUAGCUAAAAAAAUUAAGAGAGGGAGAGAAAGGAAGAAGAAAGAAAGAAAACUUCAAACACAAAUUGUGAUACCACCAUUCCGCUUGAUCUCCAUAUCAUGCCAUGAUAGUGUGAAAAUUGUACAGGAGAAUGCAUAUAGAGACUAAGGUAAAAACUAGAAAUAAAUCCAUUGCAAUAUCAUGGCAGUUGCAGGUGCAUGGCAAAUAAAAAGAACAAAAACCAAGUUCCUUUCCCAUGUAACAUUUAGACAGAAAAGCAAUUAUGCUCAAUUCUCGUAAUCAAAGUGUUAUUUUAUUUCAUCACUUCAUGCCAUCAAGCUGUGAAAAAGACAGUAUCUUCCUGCCUACCAUAUCGAGAAACAUAAAAUAAAACAUCAAACAAAUCAAUGUUUGUAAUCAACUCGCUCCAGGUUCACCGAAUCCUGCAAAUAGAAGGCAAUGACUUCAAUAUGAAGAAAUAUAUAGGUGAUUCAAAAAACAUACACAUAUACACCAGUGUGCAAAUGUAUUAGAAAAUGUUGUCAAACAGUGCAAGGAAAACAACAGCUCAAAUGAACAUGGUAAGGUCCCUGUUUCAAAAUAAAUAAAUAAAAACAAAUUAACUGGCAAAGAAUUGCUUAAAGAUAUAACUUCGUGUAAGAAAAGGCUCAUUUCAACUGUAGUGCUUGAUCAAAGAUUUAUCAAUCAGACAUGAGAUAGAGAGACUGACAUCAGUAACCGUUGACUGACAUUCCCAAUACAUGCUACAACUUGAACUAACAUAAGCUCAUUGCAAGAACCUAAUUUUUCUUCCAUUUUUCAUCAAAGAUCAUAAGGUUCAUAUUCACCAUAUUUAGCCUCAAUAUCCAAACCAUGACAUUACAGAAUACAAAUACUUUUUAAAAUACUCCUGCAGUUCCUUAGCAUGGGCAGAAGACAACAUUAUUACACCCUCCCAUCAUCCUUAAUCUUUUCUGUGGUUCAUUUCUUCUCAUUAGAAUUUAACUUGAAAAAUGUACAGGCCACAAGAAUUGAGAAGACAUUGCAGAAAAUAUAACAAGAUUCCAACUUAAGAAAACACAUAACAAAUGUUUCAAAAUUGGGAUAAUGGUAAUGAUUUGAAUGUUAGAAGCUGAGCAGCAAAGUACUAUUGUUUUUAAAACUUUUUUCACCCAAAUUUCAUAGAUACGGAUAUUUACUCAGACAGUGCUAAGUAAUAAAAGAUUCAAAAUCAAGAGUGUAAAUAAAUGUAUUACAAUAGUAUUUGUUCAACCAUUUAUUUCAUAAUGAAUUUUUAUAAACUCAAAAGCCUAUGCACUAGGCAAUUCUUAAUUUCCUUAUUUUUGGAAAAUAAAUCCAUAGACAUGUUUCUACACAUUCAUGUAGGUGGGUUUCCUCAAUCUUAUCCUUUUCAGUUAUCUAUCAAUCUAGAAAUCUCAUAUCUCCCGUCCAAUGAGAAGGAGCAGAAGUCUAUUUAUUAGGAUUUCAGCCUCUUGCUUGUACAAAUGUUACACGGCAUAGCCACUUGUUCAACGAGCAGCGUCCACUACUUUGAUCAUUCUUUUACUAGUAUUUAUCUCUCAGCAAUUCUUCCUCCUGUAAAGUUCAAUUAUAGUCCAGUCCCACUGAUAAAUAGAUAUGCCUUUCUGCUCCUUGUGGUAUUAUAGCUACUUGCUUGUACAAAUAUGCAUGAUAUAGCCACACGGAACAAAAGCAACAUCCACUACUCAGAUCAUUUCUUUUACUAGUAUUCAUUCUCUAAGCAAUUCAUCCUCUUGUAAAUAUUCAAUGAUAGUUCAGAAUCCAUUCCUGCAGAAAUGUCUAUUUUCCAUUUGGGAUAUACAUUUCCUUUCAUCUUAUGCAGAAAAAAGUAUACACUAACUGAAUCAACAAUCAUUAAAAUCCUAGCCUGUAACACUCCAUAUCUAGAUUCACAAAACAAAGGUAAUAGGGGCAAAAUUCAUUUUUAAAAAGAAUAUAUUAAAUUGCAACAUACCACCACUGUAGACAAAAACUUCACACAAUUUAGCUAACAAAUUCUAAUAGCUUCUUCCUGUGUUAAAGUUCCAUCAUGAACAAACAAGAUAAUCUAUCAAACAACACCAGAAACAACAUGUGGAAAAUCAAAACGAAUCUCAUAUUUGGAGUUUAGCACAUGUAAUAUUUGCAAGUCACUGACUUACAGCAACAAACAAUUAAUCUUAUCGAGGCCACUAACACAACCAAUCAAGUUAAAAGAAAUAUAAGGGGGAAUAGGAAGAUCCUAGAGUUAGAGCCACUCAUCCUUUUCCACUCUUUACCCUACCUGCAACCCCAAAACGAGAAAGGUAAAAAAAAAAUGAUAAAUAGCAUCCAUAAAUCAAAUCAAAUGGAUGCAAUCCAAGACCUAAUAAAUGGUCACAUUUUCCAAAAUCUGGAAACAAACGUUCUUCAAGCAUCCAGACGAAGAAAAUUAACUAAUUGCUCAACAAAUAUAAUGGCCAUUUAAAAAAACCCAUAUCACUCAAAUGCCAAGACACUCUUUCAAUCCAUUAAACUCCAGAACUACUUUACCAAAUCCGAUGUAUCACAUCACCAGAAUGAAUCAGAUUAUGUAA
This 26545-nucleotide long non-coding RNA is filed under the name Manihot esculenta (cassava). RNAcentral describes it as "long non-coding RNA (MESC_LNC003227)". Lineage: Eukaryota; Viridiplantae; Streptophyta; Magnoliopsida; Malpighiales; Euphorbiaceae. The record is from RNAcentral.